GGGAGCGUAGUUCAGCUUGGCAGAACGUCCCCUUCACACGGGGAAGGCCGCAGGUUCAAGUCCUGCCGCGCCCACCA
RNAcentral lists this transfer RNA (77 nucleotides) under Deinococcus soli (ex Cha et al. 2016). RNAcentral's name for it is "tRNA-Val". It matches the Rfam family "tRNA". Rfam says of the family: Transfer RNA (tRNA) molecules are approximately 80 nucleotides in length. The record is from RNAcentral. Lineage: Bacteria; Thermotogati; Deinococcota; Deinococci; Deinococcales; Deinococcaceae.